This 1322-nucleotide long non-coding RNA is filed under the name Anser cygnoides (Swan goose). Its description in RNAcentral is "lncRNA (ENSACDG00005014319.1)". Lineage: Eukaryota; Metazoa; Chordata; Aves; Anseriformes; Anatidae. The record is from RNAcentral.
CCUCCCGGGGCCUUCUGGGGCCUGCCCGAGGCGCCCCCAGGCGGGCGGCAGGGCCCCGGCGUUCGUCUGCCUGCGGCCGGGGUCCCGGCACGGCGGCUCCGUUGCGUUACCGGGCUCGGUGGUGCAGCCCGGGUUUAUUUACCUCACGGGUGUUACCGGGGGAAGGGCUCCGGGCGGUGCGCUGCUGCCCUUCGCCUGCUCCCGCCCCGGUGGGGUGGGUUUCGGUGGGAGUUCAGGCCGCGAGCUGAGCCCCUACGGGCAGCGCUCUUAAAAUAAACCAAGGAGAAGCUGGCGUUGGGUUCGGGGACAGGGGCUGUGGUGUAACAAGCGGCCCCUGAAUGAGGGAACGCGCCCGCUGGGUAACAAAAGAGGUCGGUUUUCGGUGCCAGGUCCCUGGGGAGCCCAGACCGCAAGGUUCACUCAUGUUUUCUGGCACCGCACGCCGAGGUGCUGGGAGCCAGCUUCACCGGCCCUCCUCUUGCACCAGUGUAAUCUCUUAUGUAGGAAGCUCCAGAUGUUUGGAGAUCUGACUGUUUUUGAAGCUUAGACACGUCCCACUUCAGUGUGUGUGCCCAGUUCCAAUAGAACGUGCACCCAGUUACAACUUUAAUACAGCAGUGUAAUACUGUUCAAUUUUUAAUUUAUUUUUCUCCAGGGUCAUUUAAAAAACUAUCUAAACGAGUCAUUAAAAUCUAUUGUGUUUUAAACCAAUGUGGGCGACUGUUGUUUUCUUUUGUAGCCCAUUCCUGACAGUGAAACACGGGGCCAGCUUUGGGCUGUGUUCUCCCCCCAUAUGGGAUCGGUCGUUGGGCGUUUUGGAUGUGAGGUCUCGGAGGUUGUGAGCUCUUGAAGAGGGUGGAUAUAGGAGUGAGGUAAUUAUUUUCCCUAUUGAAAAGGCGCUCCUCAAGGGCAACGAGCAUCUUUGAUUGCUUUUUUGUCCAGUUUUAAAAGAAAAAUCUGCCAGAACUAACGGAACAAUCGUGCAGUUUUGAAGGGCGGAGGACAUAAGGGACAGACUGAUGUCUCUCCUUUUCCAACUCGUACAACAAGUGAUACAACCGAGCAGUGGUGUUUGUCCAGGGGUGGGGUUCCAGGCGGCUGCAAACCCUGCUGCUCCCUGCUGCACGGCUGGAUUGCUCUUCCUUCUUCUUUUUCCCCAAAUAUCUUACCGUUUGUGUUGGGGCUGAGUUCAGUGGCCCUAACGUACCCACGCUAACGUGCACAGAAGAGCUCCGCGUUCUGGUAUGAGCCGGGGAGAACACCGGAACGUUUUCCCAGUGUUUCAGAUUUAAAGGCAAAUAAAAUAUCUCAUUUCUUCGCCA